This is a long non-coding RNA of Gopherus evgoodei (Goodes thornscrub tortoise), 246 nucleotides long. RefSeq lists it as uncharacterized. The transcript is spliced from 3 exons. The record is from RefSeq and is a predicted model, not a curated record. Lineage: Eukaryota; Metazoa; Chordata; Testudines; Testudinidae.
CACUAAUUCUACUUCUCUUUAGAUGCCAUUCUGGGCCUGUGAGAGACUGUUGAUUUUUAUCUCUAGUUUCCAAAGCCCCAACAGCCACUCUCAGGAUUUGUUAUCAAAGUUAAUUUUUAAACACUAAAGAUACCAGUCUUAACCAGUUUUUUUUUCUUUACUCCAUCCACAGUGUGAUGGUACAUUCUAUAGGAUUUUAUAAAAAUAUGCUGAUGAGUGUGAAUAUAAUGUAACUGGAAUAUGCUU